GGGGCUGAUUCUGGAUUCGACGGGAUUUGCGAAACCCAAGGUGCAUGCCGAGGGGCGGUUGGCCUCGUAAAAAGCCGCAAAAAAUAGUCGCAAACGACGAAAACUACGCUUUAGCAGCUUAAUAACCUGCUUAGAGCCCUCUCUCCCUAGCCUUCGCUCUUAGGACGGGGAUCAAGAGAGGUCAAACCCAAAAGAGAUCGCGUGGAAGCCCUGCCUGGGGUUGAAGCGUUAAAACUUAAUCAGGCUAGUUUGUUAGUGGCGUGUCCGUCCGCAGCUGGCAAGCGAAUGUAAAGACUGACUAAGCAUGUAGUACCGAGGAUGUAGGAAUUUCGGACGCGGGUUCAACUCCCGCCAGCUCCACCA
This 363-nucleotide transfer-messenger RNA is filed under the name Escherichia coli. It matches the Rfam family "transfer-messenger RNA". From Rfam's summary of the family: Bacterial tmRNA, also known as 10Sa RNA or SsrA, is named for its dual tRNA and mRNA-like properties. Its role is to liberate the mRNA from a stalled ribosome. Lineage: Bacteria; Pseudomonadati; Pseudomonadota; Gammaproteobacteria; Enterobacterales; Enterobacteriaceae. The record is from RNAcentral.